RNAcentral lists this ribosomal RNA (253 nucleotides) under uncultured bacterium. RNAcentral's name for it is "partial 16S ribosomal RNA". It matches the Rfam family "Bacterial small subunit ribosomal RNA", at positions 524 to 776 of the family's 1533-position model. The record is from RNAcentral.
UACAGAGGGGGCGGGCGUUGUUCGGAAUUACUGGGCGUAAAGGGCGUGCAGGCGGUCUGUUAAGUCUAGGGUGAAAGCUCCCGGCUCAACUGGGAGAGGUCCUUGGAUACUGGCGGACUUGAGGGAGGCAGAGGAAAGUGGAAUUCCCGGUGUAGUGGUGAUAUGCGUAGAUAUCGGGAGGAACACCAGUGGCGAAGGCGGCUUUCUGGGCCUUACCUGACGCUGAGACGCGAAAGCGUGGGGAGCGAACCGG